This is a long non-coding RNA of Ruditapes philippinarum (Manila clam), 715 nucleotides long. RefSeq lists it as uncharacterized. The transcript is spliced from 4 exons. Lineage: Eukaryota; Metazoa; Mollusca; Bivalvia; Venerida; Veneridae. The record is from RefSeq and is a predicted model, not a curated record.
ACAACGAUUGACUUAAAACAAAGAUAAAAAUACUUUGGCCUACUUUGGCCUAUCUACUUGCUGAUUUAAAAGGGCGGCAGGCGACAAAAGUGUUCACAAGUAGACUGCUCUCUUUAUAUGCGGUUAAGAAUUUAAAUUUCCUGGACGAAAAUAUGAAGACGGCUCUUGUGUGCUUCCUUGUUGGCCUGAUCGCCAUAUCAUUGGUUCAUGCUCAAAACAACCAAUCAUCAACCAUGGCGCCUUCCAACAGCACAACACAAAAAGCAGGAGCUGUUAGCGUGCAAGGGACGUCUGUGAUAUUUCAAAUAAUCUUUGCUCUUACUGGAGCCUUUAUCUUUGGCUUAUUAAGAAACUAAAGAUAAACAUCGUUCUGCUGAAAAGACUCUAGAUUAUUUAACACUCGUUUAUUUAUAUACGGUCAUAUAGCGAGUAAAUUCCUUUUGCGUUUAUAUCACUUUAUAUACAUAAUCAUUUAUAAGUAGUGGCUUUACAAGCAAAUUAAUUAUCAUUUUAGUUAUAAUUGUAUGUAAUGACGACAUUCUCGGAAAAGGACAAAUCAAUUUCAUCAUUUGAGCUGAAAUGUUUGAACUUGAUUCAAAUAUGAUGACGCUCAAGAUGAAUUGACAGUUUUUUUAGCCUUCAUGCCGAGAAGUUCCGAAAUUGUUCAAAGAAAGAUCAAAAUGUAUUUGCUGAUUUAAAUAAAAUAUUAAUUUUA